UAUAAUUUACUUUUAGCCAAUCACCUACAGUUAUGGCAAAGAGGACAAAGAUCCCAUUAAAUAUACAUAUUUCUACAGCAAGAAAAACCCACAGAGCGGAUUUACCAUUCCCAGGAAUAAGGUGUCCAACUUCCUCCCUGAGUGUUUUUUGGAACAAACCAUCAGGCUUUACUGGAAGAAUAAAGAUGAAAAACAUGAGCAUUCUAAAAAACGUAAGGAUUCUAUCAUCAAGAAGUUCGGGGACUGGUGCAAGGUCAACAAAUUUGAGGUGGACAUUUUCAAUGACAGUGACAACAAGCGUCGUCAGCCUGCUCAAGAUGAAGCAGAUUCAUCUACAUCGGGUUCCACGCACGGAAAGUCAAAAAGACAAAGACAGUAAAGACAAAGACAUAAAGAUGCACUUAUAAUCAUCAACUUGACCUUUAACAAGCUUAAAAUCAUGUUCUUCAAAUUAAAUAUUAAAAAAUUGUUUGAAAGUGCUUCAUUUAUAUGCCAUUUUGCUGAAAUCUCCUGAAUGUGCCACUUGUGUACUGAUAUACUGUCAGGGAGGUAUCAGGAUGACCCAGAUGCAGGACAAGACAACAAGCCAGAGUGAAUGAACCAAAAAUGUUUAGCAAAAAGUGCCACUCAAAACUCAAAAGAGACCUAAACCAGUGGAGAGACAAAACCACUUAAUUAAACCUUAAAACAAAUUAACUUAAAGUGCAGGCAGCUGUGUGCCAAUCCAUGGAGAGCCAACAGGAAGGAGGCGGAGCCCUCCAGGAAAAGCCACAGCCAACCUGCACAGGAAAAGAACACAAGAAUGAGUAAAAAGAACUUAACAGAACUGACAGACUGUAACAUAUAACUGUAACAAUAUACUGCGUCUUAAUUUUUACUUUAUUAUUAUAAUGCCUCUAAAGGUUUGUUAAGGGAAAUAAUGCCUUUUAAUGAUUAUUUUCAUAUAAAGUAGUAAAACAUUUCAAUUUCAUUUUACUUGUUUUUGUGGGUAAUUUUCCUGUAUAUUUUAGAAUCAGAAAUCUAUACUUUGAUGUUACUUUUUAAUUAUAGUAACAUCAAAGUAUAUAUUGUGUAUAGGUGAUUAAUCAGUUUAUAAACUGAUUAAUCACCUAUCCAGUUGGUGAGGGGAAAAUACUUAUCUUAAAUAUAUUCUUGUAAUCAGUGUAUGUAACAGAAAUAUUUAAUAUAUAAUGUUUUUAUUUAAAUGAUUAAUUGUUCAGAUGACUUAUUGGAAAUUGUUUGUUUAAAAGAAAAUGAAUAAAGUUU
Molecule: long non-coding RNA, 1266 nt
Organism: Oryzias melastigma (Indian medaka)
Lineage: Eukaryota; Metazoa; Chordata; Actinopteri; Beloniformes; Adrianichthyidae
Exons: 3
Source: RefSeq, a predicted model, not a curated record